This 454-nucleotide ribosomal RNA is filed under the name uncultured bacterium. RNAcentral describes it as "bacterial SSU rRNA". It matches the Rfam family "Bacterial small subunit ribosomal RNA", at positions 340 to 786 of the family's 1533-position model. The record is from RNAcentral.
UACGGAAGGCAGCAGUGGGGAAUAUUGCACAAUGGGCGCAAGCCUGAUGCAGCCAUGCCGCGUGUAUGAAGAAGGCCUUCGGGUUGUAAAGUACUUUCAGUCGUGAGGAAGGUGUUAAGGUUAAUAACCUUAGCAAUUGACGUUAGCGACAGAAGAAGCACCGGCUAACUCCGUGCCAGCAGCCGCGGUAAUACGGAGGGUGCGAGCGUUAAUCGGAAUUACUGGGCGUAAAGGGCACGCAGGCGGUUAAUUAAGUUGGAUGUGAAAUCCCCGGGCUUAACCUGGGAAUGGCAUUCAAGACUGGUUAGCUAGAGUCUUGUAGAGGGGGUAGAAUUCCAUAUGUAGCGGUGAAAUGCGUAGAGAUGUGGAGGAAUACCGGUGGCGAAGGCGGCCCCUGGGACAAAGACUGACGCUCAUGUGCGAAAGCGUGGGGAGCAAACAGGGAUUAGAUACC